RNAcentral lists this ribosomal RNA (468 nucleotides) under uncultured bacterium. Its description in RNAcentral is "partial 16S ribosomal RNA". It matches the Rfam family "Bacterial small subunit ribosomal RNA", at positions 28 to 507 of the family's 1533-position model. The record is from RNAcentral.
GACGAACGCUGGCGGCGUGCUUAACACAUGCCAGUCGAACGGAAAGGCCCUGCUUUUGUGGGGUGCUCGAGUGGCGAACGGGUGAGUAACACGUGAGUAACCUGCCCUUGACUUUGGGAUAACUUCAGGAAACUGGGGCUAAUACCGGAUAGGAGCUCCUGCUGCAUGGUGGGGGUUGGAAAGUUUCGGCGGUUGGGGAUGGACUCGCGGCUUAUCAGCUUGUUGGUGGGGUAGUGGCGUACCAAGGCUUUGACGGGUAGCCGGCCUGGGAGGGUGACCGGCCACAUUGGGACUGAGAUACGGCCCAGACUCCUACGGGAGGCAGCAGUGGGGAAUAUUGCACAAUGGGCGGAAGCCUGAUGCAGCAACGCCGCGUGCGGGAUGACGGCCUUCGGGUUGUAAACCGCUUUCGCCUGUGACGAAGCGUGAGUGACGGUAAUGGGUAAAGAAGCACCGGCUAACUACGUG